RNAcentral lists this ribosomal RNA (458 nucleotides) under uncultured Nitrosospira 16S-3. RNAcentral's name for it is "bacterial SSU rRNA". It matches the Rfam family "Bacterial small subunit ribosomal RNA", at positions 200 to 640 of the family's 1533-position model. The record is from RNAcentral. Lineage: Bacteria; Pseudomonadati; Pseudomonadota; Betaproteobacteria; Nitrosomonadales; Nitrosomonadaceae.
AGAAAAGCAGGGGAUCGCAAGACCUUGCGCUUUUGGAGCGGCCGAUGUCUGAUUAGCUAGUUGGUGAGGUAAAGGCUUACCAAGGCGUCGAUCAGUAGCUGGUCUGAGAGGACACCAGCCACACUGGGACUGAGACACGGCCCAGACUCCUACGGGAGGCAGCAGUGGGGAAUUUUGGACAAUGGGGGAAACCCUGAUCCAGCCAUGCCGCGUGAGUGAAGAAGGCCUUCGGGUUGUAAAGCUCUUUCAGCCGGAACGAAACGGUCACGGCUAAUACCUGUGAUCACUGACGGUACCGGAAGAAGAAGCACCGGCUAACUACGUGCCAGCAGCCGCGGUAAUACGUAGGGUGCGAGUGUUAAUCGGAAUUACUGGGCGUAAAGCGUGCGCAGGCGGUUUUGUAAGUCAGAUGUGAAAUCCCCGGGCUUAACCUGGGAACUGCGUUUGAAACUACAAGG